AUCUAUUUAGUUAAGUAGUAUAAUACCGAACUUGCAAUCGUAAGUUAGGGGUCGCGGGUUCGAAUCCCGUAAUAGGUA
RNAcentral lists this transfer RNA (78 nucleotides) under Colletotrichum fioriniae PJ7. It matches the Rfam family "tRNA". From Rfam's summary of the family: Transfer RNA (tRNA) molecules are approximately 80 nucleotides in length. Their secondary structure includes four short double-helical elements and three loops (D, anti-codon, and T loops). Lineage: Eukaryota; Fungi; Ascomycota; Sordariomycetes; Glomerellales; Glomerellaceae. The record is from Rfam by way of RNAcentral.